GGUCACGGGGCUCUGGACCCGGACUAAACCCUGAACUGGUCGCCAGUCAAGCCACAGGGCACAUUUCGAGACGGAAAAGCAUUUGCAUUCACAUUCACAGUGGGAACUGAAUCUACACUCCACGCACCAAAGUCAGGCAAUGGCAGUGAGGGGAGGGGGCUGCUGAUUCCCAGAGGCUCAAAGGCAAACCGCAGUUCACCUUGCGGUCGACCACAGAUGCCAGUACCGCCCCUUUUGGCCCGUCAUGUUCACAUGUGGUCCUUCAUCUUUUUAACGUUCUGUCAAGGCUUUCUACAGAUCAAACAGAACAUGUCUGUGACCACAUUAAUUAAGAAGAAGCUCUUCCAGAGUUUGAGUCAGAGCUCAUCAAAUGGGGCUAAGGAAAAUGGUAUCAAAUGGCAUCAAAUGAUAAUCCUCCAGUUCAAUG
Long non-coding RNA from Syngnathoides biaculeatus (alligator pipefish), 427 nucleotides. RefSeq lists it as uncharacterized. The transcript is spliced from 3 exons. The record is from RefSeq and is a predicted model, not a curated record. NCBI's taxonomy places the organism in Eukaryota, Metazoa, Chordata, Actinopteri, Syngnathiformes, Syngnathidae.